CGAUUCACCAUCGACACAUGCAUAACAAAGUUAGAGAGAAGCAUUAACAUUAAAAAAAAAAUGAAAGUUUCUCAAUUUGUCAUCCAUAUUGCCAUAAUUGUUUUAGUCAUCUCCUUUGCCAAUGCUUAUGAUCCAAGUCCACUACAAGACUUCUGUGUCGCCACAGCCAUUAAUGAUGAAACUAGCCUUUUCGUGAAUGGUCGGUUCUGUAAAGAUCCAAAACAAGUCGAUGCAGAGGAUUUUCUCUUCUCAGGCCUCAACAUCCCCGGGAACACAAGUAAUCAAGUUGGCUCAAACGUGACCAUGAUAAGCCUAUGCAAGUGUAUACAAGGAGAAGAAAUAGAACAAACAUAACACGUGUAGAAGAAGAAGAUGGCACGUGGGAGAAAGAUACUUGUAUAAAACUAUAGCAUUUGACAUUUUAUCAUUCUUAUGUUGUUGUAUGUGUAAACAGAGACGUAUGAGUCUUCUGAGGAGAGAGAGUAAUGUCUAGCUGCGUCUAGAGACUCUUCUUCACAUAUCUGUGGCUGUAAUCGAUUCUGUUUUGGGUUAAUAAAGGGAAGGAGAGUUCUUUUCUUAA
Molecule: long non-coding RNA, 580 nt
Organism: Capsella rubella
Lineage: Eukaryota; Viridiplantae; Streptophyta; Magnoliopsida; Brassicales; Brassicaceae
Exons: 2
Source: RefSeq, a predicted model, not a curated record